GAACCAGUACCGUGAGGGAAAGGCGAAAAGAACCCCGGCGAGGGGAGUGAAAAAGAACCUGAAACCGUGUACGUACAAGCAGUGGGAGCACGCUUAGGCGUGUGACUGCGUACCUUUUGUAUAAUGGGUCAGCGACUUAUAUUCUGUAGCAAGGUUAACCGAAUAGGGGAGCCGAAGGGAAACCGAGUCUUAACUGGGCGUUAAGUUGCAGGGUAUAGACCCGAAACCCGGUGAUCUAGCCAUGGGCAGGUUGAAGGUUGGGUAACACUAACUGGAGGACCGAACCGACUAAUGUUGAAAAAUUAGCGGAUGACUUGUGGCUGGGGGUGAAAGGCCAAUCAAACCGGGAGAUAGCUGGUUCUCCCCGAAAGCUAUUUAGGUAGCGCCUCGUGAAUUCAUCUCCGGGGGUAGAGCACUGUUUCGGCAAGGGGGUCAUCCCGACUUACCAACCCGAUGCAAACUGCGAAUACCGGAGAAUGUUAUCACGGGAGACACACGGCGGGUGCUAACGUCCGUCGUGAAGAGGGAAACAACCCAGACCGCCAGCUAAGGUCCCAAAGUCAUGGUUAAGUGGGAAACGAUGUGGGAAGGCCCAGACAGCCAGGAUGUUGGCUUAGAAGCAGCCAUCAUUUAAAGAAAGCGUAAUAGCUCACUGGUCGAGUCGGCCUGCGCGGAAGAUGUAACGGGGCUAAACCAUGCACCGAAGCUGCGGCAGCGACGCUGAUGCGUUGUUGGGUAGGGGAGCGUUCUGUAAGCCUGCGAAGGUGUGCUGUGAGGCAUGCUGGAGGUAUCAGAAGUGCGAAUGCUGACAUAAGUAACGAUAAAGCGGGUGAAAAGCCCGCUCGCCGGAAGACCAAGGGUUCCUGUCCAACGUUAAUCGGGGCAGGGUGAGUCGACCCCUAAGGCGAGGCCGAAAGGCGUAGUCGAUGGGAAACAGGUUAAUAUUCCUGUACUUGGUGUUACUGCGAAGGGGGGACGGAGAAGGCUAUGUUGGCCGGGCGACGGUUGUCCCGGUUUAAGCGUGUAGGCUGGUUUUCCAGGCAAAUCCGGAAAAUCAAGGCUGAGGCGUGAUGACGAGGCACUACGGUGCUGAAGCAACAAAUGCCCUGCUUCCAGGAAAAGCCUCUAAGCAUCAGGUAACAUCAAAUCGUACCCCAAACCGACACAGGUGGUCAGGUAGAGAAUACCAAGGCGCUUGAGAGAACUCGGGUGAAGGAACUAGGCAAAAUGGUGCCGUAACUUCGGGAGAAGGCACGCUGAUAUGUAGGUGAAGUCCCUCGCGGAUGGAGCUGAAAUCAGUCGAAGAUACCAGCUGGCUGCAACUGUUUAUUAAAAACACAGCACUGUGCAAACACGAAAGUGGACGUAUACGGUGUGACGCCUGCCCGGUGC
Molecule: ribosomal RNA, 1392 nt
Filed under: Escherichia coli
Lineage: Bacteria; Pseudomonadati; Pseudomonadota; Gammaproteobacteria; Enterobacterales; Enterobacteriaceae
Description: partial 23S ribosomal RNA
Rfam family: Bacterial large subunit ribosomal RNA
Source: RNAcentral